Molecule: long non-coding RNA, 3250 nt
Organism: Anguilla anguilla (European eel)
Lineage: Eukaryota; Metazoa; Chordata; Actinopteri; Anguilliformes; Anguillidae
Exons: 2
Source: RefSeq, a predicted model, not a curated record
UGCCUGAAUGAAAAACGGAGAGAUGCGAACCUUCCUGACGUCUUGUUCGCUGCUUUCACUGAUGGCAUUUCUUUUCAGUGCCUUCUGGUUUUACUGAGAACAUAUAGGUUCAGUUUUUGCCCCUGUCCCAUUUAAUUCAAUUUACAGUAAGACUGAACAUUAGCCUAAUAAACAUUUCAGCACAAUUAAAGAAUAGAAACCAAAGUAAUGUUUUUGUAAACUCUUUUUAAUCUUAUGCUUGUCUAUAGAAUAUUGUUCAAGUGCAUUUCAUAUUAAUAAUUUAAAAAAACAUAAAAUACAACUUUUAUAUUGUGUGAAUGUUGUUUGAACCUUGUUUGCUCUUGGAGGUCUGGAUCCUAGUGACUGAUUGACAAAUGUAGGCUAUGGAGACAUUUUGGGGAAAAAGUGUCUAGAAUGCUUGGUGUAAUUUCAAAGUUUGUCGGGUGGGGUUUGCCCAAUUUGUGACUUAAGGCAUUUAUUCUUUAGCUGCAAAUUAUGCGAGAAUGUAUAAGCAAGUACGCUUCAAAAUGUUGGUUUGUACGUUAGCUUAAGGUUAAAGAAUCCCAUGCACGCAAAGUCUUAACAUACCAAUAGGUUAACGAUUUUAAAUGUUUGGGAAAAAAGCAAGGUAGUGUGCUGUGAAACAAUGUAAACUGCUACAAUAACAAUGGGUUUUAUAAGCAAUAAAUUAAAAAAGAGCUGAAAUGUUUCAUUUGUCAUCUUGUAGUGGGAGUGGAUUUUAGGGUAUUUUUUCCUGCUCACAUCAUGACCCCGACCGUUUUGAGGGGAAAACCAAGAUUAAAAAUGUAUUUGUACGGAGUGAACAUAAAAGAUAAAUCAUUAUCAGUGUCCAAGGGCCGCCUGACUAUUACGAUAAAACUGAAAAUGAAAAUAAACUCGUUUAACUGCAUGUUUAUGCCCAAAUUGUGACAUAAGGCAUGUAUCCUUUUGCUGCAGUUAGGUGAUAUGAGAGAAUGUGUAAGUAAGUACGCUUCAAAAUGUUGGUUUGUACGUUAGCUUAAGGUUAAAGAAUCCCAUGCACGCAAAGUCUUAACAUACCAAUAGGUUAACGAUUUUAAAUGUUUGGGAAAAAAGCAAGGUAGUGUGCUGUGAAACAAUGUAAACUGCUACAAUAACAAUGGGUUUUAUAAGCAAUAAAUUAAAAAAGAGCUGAAAUGUUUCAUUUGUCAUCUUGUAGUGGGAGUGGAUUUUAGGGUAUUUUUUCCUGCUCACAUCAUGACCCCGACCGUUUUGAGGGGAAAACCAAGAUUAAAAAUGUAUUUGUACGGAGUGAACAUAAAAGAUAAAUCAUUAUCAGUGUCCAAGGGCCGCCUGACUAUUACGAUAAAACUGAAAAUGAAAAUAAACUCGUUUAACUGCAUGUUUAUGCCCAAAUUGUGACAUAAGGCAUGUAUCCUUUUGCUGCAGUUAGGUGAUAUGAGAGAAUGUGUAAGUAAGUACGCUUCAAAAUGUUGGUUUGUACGUUAGCUUAAGGUUAAAGAAUCCCAUGCACGCAAAGUCUUAACAUACCAAUAGGUUAACGAUUUUAAAUGUUUGGGAAAAAAGCAAGGUAGUGUGCUGUGAAACAAUGUAAACUGCUACAAUAACGAUGGGUUUUAUAAGCAAGAAAUUAAUUGCAAAUUGCACCUUGCCGGAGCUGAGCUCCGUCUCCUUCAGUAUCAUAUCAUCAUAUCACACUUGUAUUAUUUAAAUCUCCCAGUAAAUGUAAUAGCAUGUAAGUCUUGAUGUAUAAUUCUCUAGACAACAAAUAGAGACAUUUGAGUCUAAUUCUACACCCAAAACUAUGUAAACAAUGAGCUUGUAACAAUUAUCAGACAUCAUCAAACGCGCGUGCGCCCGCACGCCAUCACGCAAACCGAGUUUGUUAUGGCGCGAAUCGCAUUUGUCUCGAACAUUCCGAUUCCGUCAAAUUGUUUUUCUCCUCGGUAAGUUUCAAAAGUUCAAUUCUGAGUUAGCUAACAUUUUAUGUGUAUUUACUAAGCUGUCUGUUAAGCAGGAUUAGCUGUGUGUUGCCUUGGUGAACUGAAAUGGCUAUUUUUAGCUUCUCAGGCAGACAUCACAUCAGAAACUGUGUAAAUCAGCUGAAAUUAAGAUAACUUUAGCAGCCAGUAACUUAGCGCACAUAAAGCCUAAAACUAUAAGCCACAUUCCUCAUGAGAAAAACUAACGUUGAACGGACGUUAACUUCUUGUGGAAGCGGCCGCUUCCCCGUGUUUUGUUCGGAACACGAUGAGUUUACGUUUGUACAAUAAGUGGAAGAUAUCAGAGUAACUUGGAUAACUGGCAGCUUUUUAGUUAGCUAAGCUAAUUGUGUUCAUUCAUUCAGAGGCUUAAUGAACAGUCAGUUUUAACAAUGAAGAGGAAGAGGACCUUAAAAGAUUUCUUUUUUUGUGCUCCAUUCUCCUCCAUCUACUCUAACUGCAUGUUUUAGCAUAAACUGUACAGAUAUUUACACCGACAAGCCGAUGAAGCGGUUACCGAAAGCCGGAGCCUACGCCUGUGCGGGAGUGGGGCGUGCGAAGGCCGAGUUCAGCGUGUUCGAGGCCGAAGCGAACGCGUCGGCGGGGGCCCAGGCAUCCCUGGGGUUCAACACCGGAGUGAGCGCCGGUCCCGAUGGCGUGGAAUGGCAGUUCCUAGGCACCGGCGGAAGAAUCGGUCCAAAUCCAAAAAUAUCCCUGUUGGGAUCUUCGGUGGAAUGCUCCGUUAUGUGACUGUCUCUAAGAACAGUCUUCAUGACAUUACGUUUGUUGCGGUCAUUCAUGAUAUUAAAUUAAGCUUUACAGUCUUGUCUGUUACCGAAAGAAAGUUCAUUUCAAAUUAAUAAUUAAAAAAAAAAAAAAUACAAACGCAGUCCAGAUUUUGUAUUGUGUGAAUACGUUGCUUCUUUCUGAACCAUGUAUGCUGUUGGAGGUCUGGGCCCCAUUAUCUGACUGACUGUAAAGUACUUAGAGACGUAAGCCAUUACAUUACAUUUAUUUGGCUAAAAGCGACGUAGAAUACGUGCAUACCGAAGGUCAUUGGAACAAAACACGUCUGAUAUGGUAUAUUACUGAUUACGUAACAGUUAUUCAUUCAUAGCCAUGAACGUGUUAAGCCAUAUAUAGAUAACGAUAACAAUAAAAUUAAACAUGAAAGUAAACUCUGCAUGACUAUCUGAAUGUAUGUAAUUACUAAUGUAUUAAAAUGUAUGCAAAUACUUUUCAAUAAAAGCUGAGAAUCCGCGCUUUAA